UUUGGUCACAGUAACAACAGUGAUUAAGAUG
This 31-nucleotide non-coding RNA is filed under the name Rattus norvegicus (Norway rat). The record is from RNAcentral. Lineage: Eukaryota; Metazoa; Chordata; Mammalia; Rodentia; Muridae.